GGCGUACGGGUGAGUAACACGUGGGUAAUCUACCUCUGGGUGGGGAAUAACCCUGGGAAACCGGGGCUAAUACCGCAUAAAACUGUGAGGUUAAAGGCGCAAGUCGCCUGGAGAGGAGCCCGCGGCUGAUUAGCUAGUUGGUAGGGUAAAGGCCUACCAAGGCUGAGAUCGGUAGCCGGCCUGAGAGGGCACACGGCCACACUGGCACUGAAACACGGGCCAGACUCCUACGGGAGGCAGCAGUGGGGAAUCUUGCACAAUGGGGGAAACCCUGAUGCAGCGACGCCGCGUGAGCGAUGAAGCCCUUCGGGGUGUAAAGCUCUUUCGGCAGGAACGAUAAUGACGGUACCUGAAGAAGAAGCUGCGGCUAACUACGUGCCAGCAGCCGCGGUAAUACGUAGGCAGCGAGCGUUGUUCGGAGUUACUGGGCGUAAAGAGUGCGUAGGCGGUUUCGUAAGUCUGGUGUGAAAUCUCCCGGCUCAACUGGGAGGGUGCGCCGGAAACUGCGGAGCUGGAGUGUGGGAGAGGCAAGCGGAAUUCCUGGUGUAGCGGUGAAAUGCGUAGAUAUCAGGAGGAACACCUGCGGUGUAGACGGCUUGCUGGACCACUACUGACGCUGAAGCACGAAAGCGUGGGGAGCAAACAGGAUUAGAUACCCUGGUAGUCC
Molecule: ribosomal RNA, 667 nt
Filed under: uncultured bacterium
Lineage: Bacteria
Description: bacterial SSU rRNA
Rfam family: Bacterial small subunit ribosomal RNA
Source: RNAcentral